Molecule: transfer RNA, 75 nt
Filed under: Betaproteobacteria bacterium
Lineage: Bacteria; Pseudomonadati; Pseudomonadota; Betaproteobacteria
Description: tRNA-Pro
Rfam family: tRNA
About the family: Transfer RNA (tRNA) molecules are approximately 80 nucleotides in length.
Source: RNAcentral
CUCGCUUUAGCGUAGCGGCAACGCGCCCGGUUUGGGACCGGGACCACGCUGGUUCGAAUCCAGCAGGCGAGACCA